GCCUUUGUGGUGCAACGGUAGCACACUCGGCGCAUAUUUCGAGAGGUGCAGGUUCGAGUCCUGGCGAGGGCA
Molecule: transfer RNA, 72 nt
Filed under: Stegodyphus mimosarum
Lineage: Eukaryota; Metazoa; Arthropoda; Arachnida; Araneae; Eresidae
Rfam family: tRNA
About the family: Transfer RNA (tRNA) molecules are approximately 80 nucleotides in length. Their secondary structure includes four short double-helical elements and three loops (D, anti-codon, and T loops). Further hydrogen bonds mediate the characteristic L-shaped molecular structure. tRNAs have two regions of fundamental functional importance: the anti-codon, which is responsible for specific mRNA codon recognition, and the 3' end, to which the tRNAs corresponding amino acid is attached (by aminoacyl-tRNA synthetases). tRNAs cope with the degeneracy of the genetic code in two manners: having more than one tRNA (with a specific anti-codon) for a particular amino acid; and 'wobble' base-pairing, i.e. permitting non-standard base-pairing at the 3rd anti-codon position.
Source: Rfam by way of RNAcentral